RNAcentral lists this ribosomal RNA (433 nucleotides) under uncultured bacterium. RNAcentral's name for it is "partial 16S ribosomal RNA". It matches the Rfam family "Bacterial small subunit ribosomal RNA", at positions 29 to 507 of the family's 1533-position model. The record is from RNAcentral.
AACGAACGCUGGCGGCAGGCCUAACACAUGCAAGUCGAGCGAGGACUUCGGUUCUAGCGGCGGACGGGUGAGUAACGCGUGGGAAUGUGCCCUUCUCUACGGAAUAGCCCUGGGAAACAGGGAGUAAUACCGUAUACGCUCUAAUGGGGAAAGAUUUAUCGGAGAAGGAUCAGCCCGCGUUGGAUUAGGUAGUUGGUGGGGUAAUGGCCUACCAAGCCGACGAUCCAUAGCUGGUUUGAGAGGAUGAUCAGCCACACUGGGACUGGGACACGGCCCAGACUCCUACGGGAGGCAGCAGUGGGGAAUCUUAGACAAUGGGGGCAACCCUGAUCUAGCCAUGCCGCGUGAGUGAUGAAGGCCUUAGGGUUGUAAAGCUCUUUCAGCUGGGAAGAUAAUGACGGUACCAGCAGAAGAAGCCCCGGCUAACUCCGUG